Heterocephalus glaber (naked mole-rat) is the source of this 1319-nucleotide long non-coding RNA. RefSeq lists it as uncharacterized. NCBI's taxonomy places the organism in Eukaryota, Metazoa, Chordata, Mammalia, Rodentia, Bathyergidae. The record is from RefSeq and is a predicted model, not a curated record.
CCUUGAUUGCCCUCUGGAGGGCGCGGAGUGGAUACAUCAAAUCAAAGGAAGCAAGUAUUUUGAGCAAGAACUGUGCAGAGAACUGUAAUUCUCUUGCACCAAAUGUAUUCUCACCGUAGAUGUUGUUUCCAUUUAACAAGCAGAUCCAAAACUGAAGAGGACCCCAUAUUCACAUCAACAGUUUUACUACAAUUACCACCAAAGGACAGGACCAUACUAGAGUUUCAUGGAUCCCACCAAAGAGUGAAUGCAACAAAGGGACCAGGAAACCUCACAAGAAAGAACAGAAGACCUAGCUUCAGAUGCUGACACUCUGAGAAUAGCCAUAGCCUGUGAUUGGAAGGGAUCUGUGGAAAAAGAAGAAGAUAAGUGCAUACCAGAGAGUCCCCCAAAGUCCUAGCAGAAGCCACACAGGAUCAUCUCCUCAGCAAGAAGGAUCCAGGACUGCCUCAUGCCCUUAGCUUUCCUGUCUCCCAUUCCUCUUCAAUUCAGAUGCAGACUCUGCAGUGAGCCUUUCUAGAACUAUAAGUGACCAAAGAAUGUCCUUAUUACCCAGGAUUAAGGAAACUAAAAAGAAAAAUCUCAAGGAUCUUAAAGAUUCAAUAAGGCUGCAAAUUGAGGGCCUGUGCUUUCCAACUAUGAAUAUUCUGCCCCCCCAACUUCCAUCCUCAGGAAAGGAGUACUAUUAAGUGGGCAGCAUAUCUCUAGACGUCAAACACAUGUGAAUGGUUUGCAUUCUAAUCUAGCCCACCAAAUGGAUAACCUGACAGAGAGCAAGAAUAAACAUCCGAGAUAUCCUUCUUGAGGGCAACCCCAAGCACACACAAAUGCACUCAGAUCCAGACCAUAACUCUUACUCUGAGUGUCACACACCCCUAUGAAUGAGUGCUUCUUUCUGGCUAAUAAAUGUCUUCAGCCUCUCACUGAUGUACCUUGAAGAUUCUUUUUCUGUAAUGGAAGUCAGCAAGGUUGCAACAAACCCCAUGGUGGAGUGACUUGAGGUACUCAUCUCCACAUCAGGGGAUCCCUUUGGAGCCUGUCCACGAUGUUGUCCACUGAUUGCUUGUCUGGGAUCUGUUUCACAUGGCCACUCAAAGCCCCAGGACAGCAGGAGCCUCACCUCUCUGUUCAUAGCUGGGUCCCAGGCUGGCUCCCUGCUCUGCCUAGACACUGUCAGUACAAGGUGGAGAGAGCCAAUGCUCUCCACCACAGACAUGGUAAAGGAGAUACAGGUUGUCACUGCUAGAAGUCCCUCAUGUGGGGUUUGAAGGACCCUGGUUAGCAAGACAGACUCCAUAUUGCUGCUUGACCCACCUGCC